Anolis sagrei ordinatus is the source of this 251-nucleotide non-coding RNA. NCBI's taxonomy places the organism in Eukaryota, Metazoa, Chordata, Lepidosauria, Squamata, Anolidae. The record is from RefSeq and is a predicted model, not a curated record.
CUUCAGCACCAAUAACGCAAUCACCAAGUUGUGUUUGACACUGAGCAGACAACACUUUACCAAGGAAAGGGUCCAGAAGACAUCAACUCUUGAAAAAUCUAAAGGACUGUGGAGUUAGCUCGUGAAGUACAGCUCCCAUUUUUCAAGGCGCAAUACUCUCAAAGGUAUUGAAGAAAGGAAACUCAUGGAGACCGAGGAUGAGGAUUACUAUGAAUAUCUCAGCAUGACAGCUGAGCAGGACAAGAACAAAC